This 21-nucleotide unclassified non-coding RNA is filed under the name Mus musculus (house mouse). Its description in RNAcentral is "oocyte_clustered_small_RNA11984". The record is from RNAcentral. Lineage: Eukaryota; Metazoa; Chordata; Mammalia; Rodentia; Muridae.
AAUUGCUCAUCCAUUCAUCUG